AGCUCCAAUAGCGUAUAUUAAAGUUGUUGCAGUUAAAAAGCUCGUAGUUGGAUUUCUGGUAGGAGCGACCGUGCCGAACUUGAUUGUUCGUGUAUUGUGUUGUCUUCAGCCAUCCUCGUGGAGAACUUUUCUAACAUUAACUUGUUGGGAUUGGGACCCGCGUCGUUUACUGUGAAAAAAUUAGAGUGUUUAAAGCAGGCAUUAGCUUGAAUACAUUAGCAUGGAAUAAUAAGAUAGGACUUUGGUACUAUUUUGUUGGUUUGCAUACCAAAUUAAUGAUCAACAGGAACAGUUUGAGGAUAUUCGUAUGAACAUGUCAGAGGUGAAAUUCUUGGAUUUUUAUCAGACGAACUACUGCGAAAGCAUUUAUCAAGGAUGUUUUCAUUA
Molecule: ribosomal RNA, 387 nt
Filed under: Aplanochytrium sp.
Lineage: Eukaryota; Bigyra; Thraustochytrida; Thraustochytriidae
Description: partial small subunit ribosomal RNA
Rfam family: Eukaryotic small subunit ribosomal RNA
Source: RNAcentral